This 876-nucleotide long non-coding RNA is filed under the name Setaria viridis. RNAcentral describes it as "long non-coding RNA (SVIR_LNC008903)". Lineage: Eukaryota; Viridiplantae; Streptophyta; Magnoliopsida; Poales; Poaceae. The record is from RNAcentral.
GCGGCGGAGCGGGGGCCUCGCCAUAGGCGGCGUAGCGGGAGCCUGGCGCCGGCAGCUGCGCGGGGGCCUGGCCUCGGCUCGGGGGCCUCGUCGCGGGAGCGGCAGCGGCAGUGGACGCGAGGCGGCUGCGACUGUUUCUCGUCCCAACCUCGUGCUGCAGAUCCGGCAGUGGCGAGCUCCGUUGGCGUUGUCAGGCCCUCCGCCGGCGACCAUAAGCGGGAAAAUGGGCGCCGCGAGGAGGACGGUGAGCGCAGCGGCGCUACGACACAACUAGAAUUGUAUCUUUUCCUGAGUGUUUCCAAUUUGGUGGCCGACGGUUAACAGCUAACGGUGAGAGUUUCAGACCAUACAGCAUUUGGUCGGUGAUUCAUCACCAGUUUGAAAAUUUGUGAAGAUUCUCGAUCCCCGUCGGUCAUCUGUUGGAAACGCGCAGCAAAACAUGCGAUUCUUGUUGUGGAGCUUCCAGCCGUGGCCCCCGCAAAGCGGCGUGGGAGGAAACCGCGCCCGCCUCAACGCGGUUCUGGCAGUCUUUGCCGCUUGGAGAAUGUGCCGACACUGUUUCGUGUACAAACAAUGUCUUCAUUUUCUCCCUUCUCUCCUCGUUGACUCUCCCGCCGUAUCUUCAUUUACUUAUGUAGCAAUUUAUUUAUUAAUGGUAUGGACACCAGCUGACCUAGAGGGUUUGGCAGUACCCUUUGGUGGCCAUUGUUGCCUGCUUCAGCUAUCGACUCAUCUCGAUAAAAGAUACACUCCGAGAGUUAGAGCCUAGUCCUUGCACACCUCGCUACCAACUACCGGCUAUCAAUGAUACUUAUCCCUGUUUGUUUGAGAUUAUAAUCUAUCUAGAUUAUAUAAGCUAAAUUAUGGGUCAUGGGU